GAGUUUGAUCGUGGCUCAGAUUGAACGCUGGCGGCAUGCCUUACACAUGCAAGUCGAACGGCAGCACGGGAGCUUGCUCCUGGUGGCGAGUGGCGAACGGGUGAGUAAUGCAUCGGAACGUACCCUGGAGUGGGGGAUAACGUAGCGAAAGUUACGCUAAUACCGCAUAUUCUGUGAGCAGGAAAGCGGGGGACCGUUCGGGCCUCGCGCUCUUGGAGCGGCCGAUGUCGGAUUAGCUAGUUGGUGAGGUAAAGGCUCACCAAGGCGACGAUCCGUAGCAGGUCUGAGAGGAUGAUCUGCCACACUGGAACUGAGACACGGUCCAGACUCCUACGGGAGGCAGCAGUGGGGAAUUUUGGACAAUGGGGGCAACCCUGAUCCAGCCAUGCCGCGUGAGUGAAGAAGGCCUCGGUUGUAAG
This 419-nucleotide ribosomal RNA is filed under the name bacterium enrichment culture clone ALO1_GLFRUDD03FYYW3. RNAcentral's name for it is "bacterial SSU rRNA". It matches the Rfam family "Bacterial small subunit ribosomal RNA", at positions 9 to 429 of the family's 1533-position model. The record is from RNAcentral.